UGACCCUUCUAAGCCGAGGGUCACCUAGCCAACUGACGUUGUUAGUGAACCUUAUUUUUGUUCACACUUAUUAAUAGCCAAUCAUACUUUUUGUGAUUGGCUUUUUUUAUUUUU
Molecule: small RNA, 114 nt
Filed under: Vibrio anguillarum
Lineage: Bacteria; Pseudomonadati; Pseudomonadota; Gammaproteobacteria; Vibrionales; Vibrionaceae
Description: qrr4
Rfam family: Qrr RNA
About the family: This family represents a set of small RNAs (the Qrr RNAs) that are thought to be involved in the regulation of quorum sensing in Vibrio species. It is believed that these RNAs, guided by a protein, Hfq, can mediate the destabilisation of the quorum-sensing master regulators LuxR/HapR mRNAs.
Source: RNAcentral